RNAcentral lists this ribosomal RNA (425 nucleotides) under uncultured Exiguobacterium sp. Its description in RNAcentral is "bacterial SSU rRNA". It matches the Rfam family "Bacterial small subunit ribosomal RNA", at positions 1 to 403 of the family's 1533-position model. The record is from RNAcentral. Lineage: Bacteria; Bacillati; Bacillota; Bacilli; Caryophanales.
UAGUGAGUUUGAUCCUGGCUCAGGAUGAACGCUGGCGGCGUGCCUAAUACAUGCAAGUCGAGCGCAGGAAACCGACGGAACCCCUUCGGGGGGAAGCCGGCGGAAUGAGCGGCGGACGGGUGAGUAACACGUAAAGAACCUGCCCUCAGGUCUGGGAUAACCACGAGAAAUCGGGGCUAAUACCGGAUGGGUCAUCGAACCGCAUGGUUCGAGGAUGAAAGGCGCUUCGGCGUCGCCUGGGGGAUGGCUUUGCGGUGCAUUAGCUAGUUGGUGGGGUAAUGGCCCACCAAGGCGACGAUGCAUAGCCGACCUGAGAGGGGUGAUCGGCCACACUGGGACUGAGACACGGCCCAGACUCCUACGGGGAGCAGCAGUGGGGGAAUUUUCCGCAAUGGGCGAAUGCCCUGACGGAGCAAGACCGCGUG